GUGAGCUCUCCGGGCAGUGCCGUGCUCUGCCGGGUACCCUCGGGGGUAUCCUCUCAAAUUCUAUGCGUCGGAGUAAUGCUGUUGGCAUAAACUAGGCUGUCUUCUGCUUUCUGUGUCAUGGAUACAGUGCUUGCUGAAGAUUGAAAGUGCCCUCAGAAACUUUUGGAGACUUCACCAGUGAAUCCAUCUGGUUCUAGGCUUUUCUUUGUUGAGAAGUUUUGAUUAAAGGAUGUUACUUGUUAUAUGUCUGGUAAGACUUUCAAUUCCUUUUUUGAGUCAAUUUAUGUAAUUUAUGUGUUUCUAGGUAUUUGUCCAUUUCAUCUAGGUUAUCCAAUUUUUGGUGUAUAAUUGUUCAUAGGAUUCUUUUAUAAUGCUUUUUAUUACUGUUUGUUCAGAAAUAAUGUACCUGCUUUCAUUUCUGAUUUUGAUUAUUUGCAUAUUCAUGUGUAUGUGUGUGUCAGUCAAGCUAAAGGUUUGUCAAAAUUGAUUUUUUUCAAUAAACUAACUUUUGGUUUCAUUGAUCUCACUAUUGUUUUUCCAUGAUCUAUUUUUAUUUAUUUCUACUCUGAUCUUUGUUUCCCUCUUUGUGUUAGCUUUUGGUUUAGUUUGCUCUUCUUUUUCUUGAGCCUUAACGUAUGAAGUUAGUUUAUUGAUUUGAGAUAUAUUUUCUUUUUUUUUAUGUAGGCAUUUACAGCUAUACAUUUCCCUCUGAGUACUGCCUUUAUUGCAUCCUAUAAGUUUUG
RNAcentral lists this long non-coding RNA (743 nucleotides) under Homo sapiens (human). RNAcentral describes it as "HSALNT0223892". The record is from RNAcentral. Lineage: Eukaryota; Metazoa; Chordata; Mammalia; Primates; Hominidae.